GUCUACGGCCAUACCAUGCUGAACGCACCCAAUCUCAUCUGAUCUCGGAAGCUAAGCAGGGUCAGGCCUUGUUAGGACUUGGAUGGGAGAACAGUUAUCUAGCCAUACCAAAUCAUGGUGCAGUCUAGAUA
This 131-nucleotide ribosomal RNA is filed under the name Propithecus coquereli (Coquerel's sifaka). The record is from RNAcentral. Lineage: Eukaryota; Metazoa; Chordata; Mammalia; Primates; Indriidae.